GUGGAGUGAUCGAUUAAAACCCCGUUUGAUUUUGAUGAGCUCAAAGCAUUUGAGUAUAUCUUGUGAUUACUAAUGAAUUCAAUUGAGUGUUUCAGUGAAAAUUCUGUCCAAGUGUCUCUAGACUUGGUUCAUAGCAUUUUGGAUAAGUUAAGAAGUCUGCAUGAACCAAUGUCUGAGAUACGAGUCGACUCCCGAGUUUCACGAGUCGACUCCAAGCGUAUCAAGGUCA
Molecule: long non-coding RNA, 229 nt
Filed under: Phoenix dactylifera (date palm)
Lineage: Eukaryota; Viridiplantae; Streptophyta; Magnoliopsida; Arecales; Arecaceae
Description: long non-coding RNA (PDAC_LNC010832)
Source: RNAcentral